CCUACGGGAGGCUGCAGUGGGGAAUAUUGGACAAUGGGGGCAACCCUGAUCCAGCCAUGCCGCGUGUGUGAAGAAGGCCCUCGGGUUGUAAAGCACUUUCAGUGAGGAAGAACGCCUGGUGGUUAAUACCCAUCAGGAAAGACAUCACUCACAGAAGAAGCACCGGCUAACUCCGUGCCAGCAGCCGCGGUAAUACGGAGGGUGCGAGCGUUAAUCGGAAUUACUGGGCGUAAAGCGCGCGUAGGUGGCUUGAUAAGCCGGUUGUGAAAGCCCCGGGCUCAACCUGGGAACGGCAUCCGGAACUGUCAAGCUAGAGUGCAGGAGAGGAAGGUAGAAUUCCCGGUGUAGCGGUGAAAUGCGUAGUGAUCGGGAGGAAUACCAGUGGCGAAGGCGGCCUUCUGGACUGACACUGACACUGAGGUGCGAAAGCGUGGGUAGCAAACAGGAUUAGAUACCCGGGUAGUC
RNAcentral lists this ribosomal RNA (465 nucleotides) under Vreelandella stevensii. RNAcentral's name for it is "partial 16S ribosomal RNA". It matches the Rfam family "Bacterial small subunit ribosomal RNA", at positions 338 to 795 of the family's 1533-position model. The record is from RNAcentral. Lineage: Bacteria; Pseudomonadati; Pseudomonadota; Gammaproteobacteria; Oceanospirillales; Halomonadaceae.